RNAcentral lists this non-coding RNA (21 nucleotides) under Caenorhabditis elegans. Lineage: Eukaryota; Metazoa; Nematoda; Chromadorea; Rhabditida; Rhabditidae. The record is from RNAcentral.
UUCGUAUGGUAAAAAUUUUCA